Long non-coding RNA from Catharus ustulatus (Swainson's thrush), 1033 nucleotides. RefSeq lists it as uncharacterized. The record is from RefSeq and is a predicted model, not a curated record. Lineage: Eukaryota; Metazoa; Chordata; Aves; Passeriformes; Turdidae. The transcript has 4 exons.
CCUCCUCAUUCAGUUGAUUAAAAGCGAUCAGGGCUGCUCUGAUUUAUCAACUCAAUCCUUUACUCUAAGCAAUUGAGAAAGCUGGUGCUUCCAGCCAUCCAGCCCCAGCUUUAGAGAUCAAGCUUAGCUGUCUGUUUACCUCUUAGCCCAAAUGAACUCUUGUAGUAACAAUGCAGGUACCUUGGACUUUUCCUCGUGCGGCAGUGACUGGAGAUUGAUUCCUUUGUUUCUUGCCUCUGGUAUGACUGUGGUAGCUGGUUUUGUGACCACCCAGGAGUUCUGCGCAGGUCACCUUUGAUGUGAGCAAGGACGAAGUGCAGUUUUGACAGGCAGGAGCAUCACGGCAGAGCCCAGCAAUAGAUGCAUCUUCUCAAGAUCAGUUCAACUCAGCUCUGAACUGGUGCCUGACAAUCCCAAAUCAAAGGGCAUCCAGUGGAAGAUCAUGGUUAUGGAAGUUUGGGGAGAAGGAAACCACCAUUCAUCCAUGCAAUGAGAUAUCUUGUUACAAGUAUCUUACUCUAACUGGAAGGGAAGUCAAAACACUGGAGCAAGAGCCCACAGAACCUGUCAUCUCCAUCUCCAGCUGUAUAAGGACUCCAUAUGGACAAGGCUAGACACAACCUCCUUUAAUCGGUGCUGCUUUGUGCAGGGGUUGCCUGAUGCAUGAUCCCUGAGUCCCUCCCAGCCUGAAUUAUUCUGUGAUUUUGUCAUCAACACAGAGAACAAGGGAAAGGGGCCAGCAGCAUAGGCAAUUUUACACAUUCUUCAUAUUCUCUGUACUCCAGAGCCUAAGAAGACCAAACUGGAUUCCCAAACUUCCUACACUGAUAGCCUUUACCAAAGUACAGCUCUCUGGCUGAACAGUCCUGAGGUUGGUGUCACAGAGCCAAACUGUUCGCUCAGGUCUGCUCCAACCUCUCUGAUGUUUGUCUGGGUCAGUAUAGCCAAGACCACAAUUAAAAAUGAGGAUUUUUGCAGUUCAUUUAACUGGUAAAAAUUUCUGCUUGUCUUUUAAUCCCUGAAGUAGUUUUAA